RNAcentral lists this ribosomal RNA (435 nucleotides) under uncultured bacterium. RNAcentral describes it as "partial 16S ribosomal RNA". It matches the Rfam family "Bacterial small subunit ribosomal RNA", at positions 29 to 507 of the family's 1533-position model. The record is from RNAcentral.
AACGAACGCUGGCGGCAUGCCUAACACAUGCAAGUCGAACGAUUGCCUUCGGGUGAUAGUGGCGCACGGGUGCGUAACGCGUGGGAAUCUGCCCUUAGGUUCGGAAUAACAGCUGGAAACGGCUGCUAAUACCGGAUGAUAUCGCGAGAUCAAAGAUUUAUCGCCUGAGGAUGAGCCCGCGUUGGAUUAGGUAGUUGGUGGGGUAAAGGCCUACCAAGCCGACGAUCCAUAGCUGGUCUGAGAGGAUGAUCAGCCACACUGGGACUGAGACACGGCCCAGAAUCCUACGGGAGGCAGCAGUGGGGAAUAUUGGAAAAUGGGCGCAAGCAUGAUCCAGCAAUGCCGCGUGAGUGAUGAAGGCCCUAGGGUUGUAAAGCUCUUUUACCCGGGAAGAUAAUGACUGUACCGGGAGAAUAAGCCCCGGCUAACUCCGUG